Molecule: ribosomal RNA, 497 nt
Filed under: uncultured bacterium
Lineage: Bacteria
Description: partial 16S ribosomal RNA
Rfam family: Bacterial small subunit ribosomal RNA
Source: RNAcentral
GAUGAACGCUGGCGGCAUGCCUAAUACAUGCAAGUCGAGCGAACAGAUGUGUUUCUUGCUGCUCUCACGUUAGCAGCGGACAAGUGAGUGCCACGUGGAGAGCCUCCCUAUAAGACUGGGAUAACUUCUGGAAAGCGGAGCGAAGACCGGAUAAUAUAUUGAACCCCAUGGUUCGCUCGUGACAGAUUGUUUUGCUGUUGAGUCUAUAGUGUUCCGCGCCGCAUUCGCGUGUUGGUAAGGUAAGGGCUUACCAAGGCAACGAUGCGUAGCCGACCUAAGAGGGUGACAGGCCACACUGGAACAGGGACACGGUCCAGACUCGGACGGGAGGCAGCCGUAGAGAAUUUUACGAAACGGGAGAGAGCAUGACGGCGCAACGCGGCGAGAGUGAAGAAGGUCUUCGGAUCGUAAAACUGUGUUAUUAGGGAAGAACAAAUGUGUAAGCAACUAUGCACGUCUUGACGGUACCUAAUCAGAAAGCAACGGCUAACUACGUG